UAAAUAAUUAUCUAAAUAUAAUAACCAUAAAUAAAAUACCAUGCAAUAAUAUCAGAUAGUAACUACCCUAAAUAACAAUCAUAAGGGAGACACAAUCCAAUACACAAAUCAUCUAUGGAUAGCCCUGCCAAGCCUCACCCAAUCCCGGGUGAGGAGUACGAAAAACUCUAGGGGCCCCUAUCCUACAACCCUGAUACUAAACCUCCGGACUUUCCUAUCAAGGGCCAUAUCUUCAAAAACUCGCAUUCUAGCCAUGUCAUGCCUAAUCACCUCUCCCCAAUACCUCUUAGGUCUCUCUCUGCAUCGCCAUGCGCCGACCAUCACUAGCUGCUCACAACUCCUCACCCGGGCAUCAGGACUUCUACAUAGCAGCUUGGUCAAUUGCAUACGUAAUGUCAAAUUUUCAUCAUCUUCAUACAAAUUAAACUAAUACAAAAAUGAUCCAGUAGCAGACAAAGAUCCCAAAUAUUGAAGAUCCAAACAAUCACAAAAAAGGCAUACCAGCGCUCUGAAAUCUCUACAACAACAGAGCAAAAAUCAACAGAGAAUUACUAACUCAAACGAUUAAUAGGACAAACAACAAAAAUCAAAGAAAACUGGAGAAAAACUUUACAGAGAAAAAAGGCAGUAAAAUCAACAGUUAACAGAGUGAACCGUUUCAGCCUUCGGGAAGCUAAAUAAAUUCCAACAUUGACAAAUAAUACCUUAACAGAGCGAUAGUGGUGAUACGGACCUUUCCAACACGUGACGGAACCUCGAAACGAUACCUUUGAUGACCAAUAAGCUUAAGAUGUUACUCUGAAUUUUGGUAGCUUUAAGCGUCAAAAUCAGAAGAAGACCAAACAACGGACAAGCACGACUGGGAGCUUCGCCGGAAAAUCGACCAAAGAAAACUCUGACAGUUCUCUCAAAACCCAGAAACAUUUUGCACUUGUGUCGCUCUAUUUUAUGUGUCUCGACGGUGUGUUACGGUGGUGUAAUGGUGGAGAUAAGGUCGCUUUGGUUCAACAGCCAACCAUGGAAAUGGCUGCUUUCUUCUUUCGCAGAGGGCGAGCCGAGCGGGGAAGGGGUAGUCGUUUUAUGUGGCUGUCGGAUGAGAAGAAGUAGAAGAAAGGACGACGAUGGAGGUCGCCGGUGGUCAUUUAUGCUACGGAAGCCAAUCAAAAAAAGGGAAGCGGGUUUGUUAGCUCUUGUUUUUCGGCGUUUUCUCUCUUCUCCGUUCUGUAUUAUGUGUGUGCAUGUGUUGUGUGUUUAUUAAAAAGGUG
Molecule: long non-coding RNA, 1265 nt
Filed under: Nicotiana benthamiana
Lineage: Eukaryota; Viridiplantae; Streptophyta; Magnoliopsida; Solanales; Solanaceae
Description: long non-coding RNA (NBEN_LNC025589)
Source: RNAcentral